Molecule: long non-coding RNA, 501 nt
Filed under: Parus major (Great Tit)
Lineage: Eukaryota; Metazoa; Chordata; Aves; Passeriformes; Paridae
Description: lncRNA (ENSPMJG00000005716.1)
Source: RNAcentral
GAAAAAGCUUCACUGGAACCUAAAGCAGUCACUUGAGUUCAUCUCCCCUGGAGAAGGCUGUAAAGCCAGCACGGCGUACCCAGAGAUACGGAAAACGGUGAGUGUCGCUCUGCGUAAUCUGUUUUCUUUCAUUUGAUGAAGGUCAUGACUUUGAUAUUUUCCACCAGACUGGCCCGAUUUGGGUGCCAGGCUGUUUGUUUGUUUACAGAUGGAGAAAUGUUUCCGACAUCUGUCUGCAGCGUUCUCCCAGCAGCUACCUCAUGUUUCUUGCAACUUCCCAGCCUUGCCCACGGCCUGUUCUUGGAAGAUGUUCAGAAGGCAACUUCCUGAAGAUGGGCCCUCCAAAUCACCUGGCAGCUGCUGAUUUUAUCAAUGCCUCAGCAUUUCCCGAUCAUCAGGUCUUUAAAACAUAAACAAAAUAGUCCAGCUUUAAUAUUUGCAGCCCUAGCACUAGUUCAAUAUGUGAUGUGAUUUGUGUGCAUAUGUAAAUAUUGUCUUUGC